Molecule: non-coding RNA, 72 nt
Filed under: Meiothermus ruber
Lineage: Bacteria; Thermotogati; Deinococcota; Deinococci; Thermales; Thermaceae
Source: RNAcentral
UCAAAGACAGGGGAAGUGCGGUGCAAUUCCGCCGCUGUCGCGCAACGGUUAUAGCCCGAAUGCCUGCUUUGA